CACUGCUAGUGCUUGAACGAAGACGCGGCAUACGGAAAAAAAGAGACCGGAAAUACCUCGAAAUGUACGUUACUUCGUUUGACGCGAAAGAAUUUACCCUGGGAGCAUACGAAGCACCAAUAUGCGUCCCGGUCUCCGGCGGUCGGAUGUUGAUGUGAGUCCCCCCAACGUCAGCACGGUGAUGUGCGACGCGAGUGAGCCUUUCUACUUUUUGGCGGAGACCCCUUUUCGCCAGCAAGUGACUCGGUGUCUCCGUGAAGCACCGAAGUGUAGCUACAGCCCUCUUCGGCGAGCUGAACGGGCAGCCGAGCUUUCGAAGGCCGAUCUCCCGCAGCGCUGGAACCCGGAGAACCGCGCCAUGGCGCUCGCUGAGAAUCCACCGGCUGCCGGGCUACUGAAAGGGCCCUCUGCUCGGAGGACAUGCUGAGGGCCCUGUAUAAUGCCCUCGGCGCCUGUGCGACUUCCGGGGGUCUGCGUUUCACGGCCCCGUUACCAGCUGGGAAGUUCUCCAUGGAGGGGACGACAUCCUGUCCAGCACCAGCUUCACCAUCUGGGACCAAGUGCACGAGGGGUCGCACUGCAAGGAGAUGAAAGGAGGGCACUGCGACCUUGAGGUCAAGCUUGUACAUCUACCAUUACAGUCCUGAAUGGAUGCCAAUUGGUACUGAUGACGUUAUGAAGGUGAAACGUCCCUGGAUCUAAAGGGAAAAUUUGAUUGAAGGCGAGCUGAAGUUGUUUCUGACUUUAUCCUCUUACGACUUGAAAGUAAUCUGCCUACUUCAUGAAUACCGAAGAUGCAGAAUUUGUUUCCGUAACUGUCCCACUUCAACGUAAUGUGCACAUUGAAACCUGUUCCUUUUCUUUUUCUGCUUUCCGGCGAGA
Molecule: long non-coding RNA, 882 nt
Filed under: Ixodes scapularis (black-legged tick)
Lineage: Eukaryota; Metazoa; Arthropoda; Arachnida; Ixodida; Ixodidae
Description: uncharacterized LOC120847410, transcript variant X1
Source: RNAcentral